UGGUGGUGGAGGAGGAGGAGGAGGGUGUGGGUGUGUGUGUGUGUGUGAGUGAGAGAGAGAGAGAAACCUGAUACCUGGGCUCUGCCAAGCAUCCUAGACUCUUCAAAGCAGGGCUGCCAGCCCCAGGAGACAGAGCCAAGCACUCCCAGGAGAUUGCUGAACGCAGUAAGUCAUGCUGGCUUUAAUGCAGCUCCCAACUAACUUGAAGGGGAAGGCCCCUCAAAACAGGGAAAGGUUGAUUCCAUUUGAAAGUUUAGCCUGGAAUGCAGACAGAUAUGCAGCCCCCAGUCAGAUGCUCAGAGUAGUACUCCCCUUACCCUGGAGGAGGGUGACCAGAUGCCCAAAUAUUAGGGGCUUUGUCUUGUAUAGGAUCCUAUUACCCCCAACCACCCCAGUUUUUCACACCUGCUAUCUGGUCACCCUACCCUGGAGCAGAGGAAUUGUCUACUCUUUCCCUUCCCCAUCCUCCCAGCCACUCCCCUCAGUUUUGAGCCCAUACCUCCCCCUGCCACUAUACAGCUCAAUCCCUGCAAUACCUCAGAUGCUUCAAAAUCUUUGUUCAGAAUGUCAAUCCUUUGUAUUGAUUAACAGAAAGAGAGACAAGGGCUGGCCCCAAUCAGGUUACUCAUUAUUGACUUUUCUUCCAAUGGAGAUAGGUUAUUUGCAUUACCACAGCACCUACACUAGGGUGACCAGAUGUCACCCUACUAGACCAGACAGUCCCGAUUUUUGGGUCUUUUUCUUAUAUAGGAUCCUAUUGCCCCCCACCCCCGUCCCGAUUUUUCACAUUUGCUGUCUGGUUGUCCUAGCACCUAGAGGCCCUAGUUCUGGGCCAAGGCCCCACUGCGCUAGGCACCGUACAAAUGCAGAACAAAGAGAAAUGGUCCCCUGCCCCAGAGCGUUUACAAUCUCAGGCCAGAGUCGAGAGAUGGAUACCGAGGAGGAGGAGCACAAGAGAACAGCGAGAGCCUGGAUGAGAGCUUUAGCUGCAUGAAUGGAUCAGAAAGGCUGUACCAUAGGAAACAUUAUGCAGAAAGAAUCUGUGAGUUGUAGACCUAACAUGGGUCUGAGGACCUAGAGAGGGGCC
Molecule: long non-coding RNA, 1087 nt
Filed under: Chrysemys picta bellii (western painted turtle)
Lineage: Eukaryota; Metazoa; Chordata; Testudines; Emydidae
Description: lncRNA (ENSCPBG00000016216.1)
Source: RNAcentral